GGAACCACAACCCUGGAUCUCCUACUGCCACAGCAAGAAGAGCACGGAGAUGACAUACAGGAACUACCAGGACAUCAGACUGAGGCCAGAGAACUUCUCUUCUUACCUGACUUCUACGGUUGGUUUCACCUGCUACAGAUUACUGACUGAUACAGGUUUCCAUAGGCCAAUCUACCUCUUCCAGAAAGGCCCCACCCCCAGGAAGUGAUAGUAACACGCCCAUUGUUAGCGGUGUUAGUGCUGAGUCAAUGCAGGACUGCUGUCAUGAGCACGUCUCCAUUGAAACGACUGUCCAGAUUGAU
Esox lucius (northern pike) is the source of this 302-nucleotide long non-coding RNA. RefSeq lists it as uncharacterized. Lineage: Eukaryota; Metazoa; Chordata; Actinopteri; Esociformes; Esocidae. The transcript has 3 exons. The record is from RefSeq and is a predicted model, not a curated record.